UACGGAGGGCGCGAGCGUUAAUCGGAAUUACUGGGCGUAAAGCGCGCGUAGGCUGUUGUGUAAGUUGGGGGUGAAAUCCCACGGCUCAACCGUGGAACAGCCCUUGAUACUGCGCGACUUGAAUCCGGGAGAGGGUGGCGGAAUUCCAGGUGUAGGAGUGAAAUCCAUAGAUAUCUGGAGGAACAUCAGUGGCGAAGGCGGCCACCUGGACCGGUAUUGACGCUGAGGCGCGAAAGCGUGGGGAGCAAACAGG
RNAcentral lists this ribosomal RNA (253 nucleotides) under uncultured bacterium. Its description in RNAcentral is "partial 16S ribosomal RNA". It matches the Rfam family "Bacterial small subunit ribosomal RNA", at positions 524 to 776 of the family's 1533-position model. The record is from RNAcentral.